ACAGUUCGGUCCCUAUCUGUUGCGGGCGUAAGAGAUUUGAAGGGAGCUGUCCUUAGUACGAGAGGACCGGGAUGGACGUACCUCUGGUGCACCAGUUGUCCUGCCAAGGGCAUAGCUGGGUAGCUAUGUACGGACGAGAUAAACGCUGAAGGCAUCUAAGCGUGAAACUCCCCCUAAGAUUAGAUCUCUCAUUCGAAAGAAGUAAGGCACGACGUAGACUAUGUCGUUGAUAGGCCGGAGGUGGAAGCACGGUAACGUGUGCAGCUGACCGGUACUAAUAAGCCGAGGGCUUGACCUU
This 298-nucleotide ribosomal RNA is filed under the name Flavonifractor plautii. RNAcentral's name for it is "partial 23S ribosomal RNA". It matches the Rfam family "Bacterial large subunit ribosomal RNA", at positions 2626 to 2925 of the family's 2925-position model. The record is from RNAcentral. Lineage: Bacteria; Bacillati; Bacillota; Clostridia; Eubacteriales; Oscillospiraceae.